RNAcentral lists this non-coding RNA (20 nucleotides) under Arabidopsis thaliana (thale cress). Lineage: Eukaryota; Viridiplantae; Streptophyta; Magnoliopsida; Brassicales; Brassicaceae. The record is from RNAcentral.
UGGCCUGCGUAGGUGAACUA